AUGAACGCUGGCGGCGUGCCUCAUCCCUGCCAGUCGCGCGAACAGACGAGGAGCUUGCUCCUCUGACGUUAGCGGCGGACGGGUGAGUAACACGUGGAUAACCUACCUAUAAGACUGGGAUAACUUCGGGAAACCGGAGCUAAUACCGGAUAAUAUAUUGAACCGCAUGGUUCAAUAGUGAAAGACGGUUUUGCUGUCACUUAUAGAUGGAUCCGCGCCGCAUUAGCUAGUUGGUAAGGUAACGGCUUACCAAGGCAACGAUGCGUAGCCGACCUGAGAGGGUGAUCGGCCACACUGGAACUGAGACACGAUCCAGACUCCUACGGGAGGCAGCAGUAGGGAAUCUUCCGCAAUGGGCGAAAGCUUGACGGAGCAACGCCGCGUGAGUGAUGAAGGUCUUCGGAUCGUAAAACUCUGUUAUUAGGGAAGAACAAAUGUGUAAGUAACUAUGCACGUCUUGACGGUACCUAAUCAGAAAGCCACGGCUAACUACGUG
RNAcentral lists this ribosomal RNA (496 nucleotides) under uncultured bacterium. Its description in RNAcentral is "partial 16S ribosomal RNA". It matches the Rfam family "Bacterial small subunit ribosomal RNA", at positions 29 to 507 of the family's 1533-position model. The record is from RNAcentral.